RNAcentral lists this transfer RNA (65 nucleotides) under Chalcopis glandulosa. RNAcentral's name for it is "tRNA-Cys". The record is from RNAcentral. Lineage: Eukaryota; Metazoa; Arthropoda; Insecta; Hemiptera; Pentatomidae.
GGCUUUAUAGUCAAUUUAUGAUGUUAGACUGCAAUUCUAAAGUAAGAUAAUUUAUCUUAAAGCUU